AGAGCGAACGCUGGCGGCAGGCCUAAUACACGCAAGUCGAACGGAUCCUUCGGGAUUAGUGGCGGACGGGUGAGUAACACGUGGGAACGUGCCCUUUGGUUCGGAACAACUCGGGGAAACUUGAGCUAAUACCGGAUGUGCCCUUCGGGGGAAAGAUUUAUCGCCAUUGGAGCGGCCCGCGUCUGAUUAGCUAGUUGGUAGGGUAAAGGCCUACCAAGGCUUCGAUCAGUAGCUGGUCUGAGAGGAUGAUCAGCCACACUGGGACUGAGACACGGCCCAGACUCCUACGGGAGGCAGCAGUAGGGAAUCUUGCGCAAUGGGCGAAAGCCUGACGCAGCCAUGCCGCGUGAAUGAUGAAGGUCUUAGGAUUGUAAAAUUCUUUCAGCGGGGACGAUAAUGACGGUACCCGCAGAAGAAGCCCCGGCUAACUUCGUGCCAGCAGCCGC
Molecule: ribosomal RNA, 446 nt
Filed under: uncultured bacterium
Lineage: Bacteria
Description: SSU rRNA
Rfam family: Bacterial small subunit ribosomal RNA
Source: RNAcentral